RNAcentral lists this ribosomal RNA (405 nucleotides) under bacterium. RNAcentral's name for it is "bacterial SSU rRNA". It matches the Rfam family "Bacterial small subunit ribosomal RNA", at positions 354 to 776 of the family's 1533-position model. The record is from RNAcentral.
GUGGGGAAUAUUGCACAAUGGGCGAAAGCCUGAUGCAGCGACGCCGCGUGAGCGAUGAAGGCCUUCGGGUCGUAAAGCUCUGUCCUAAGGGAAGAAUUUUGACGGUACCUUAGGAGGAAGCCCCGGCUAACUACGUGCCAGCAGCCGCGGUAAUACGUAGGGGGCAAGCGUUAUCCGGAAUCACUGGGCGUAAAGGGUGCGUAGGCGGCUCUUCAAGUCAGGGGUGAAAGGCUACGGCUCAACCGUAGUAAGCCUUUGAAACUGUAGAGCUUGAGUGCAGGAGAGGAGAGUGGAAUUCCUAGUGUAGCGGUGAAAUGCGUAGAUAUUAGGAGGAACACCAGUGGCGAAGGCGACUCUCUGGACUGUAACUGACGCUGAGGCACGAAAGCGUGGGGAGCAAACAGG